This 669-nucleotide long non-coding RNA is filed under the name Carassius auratus (goldfish). RNAcentral's name for it is "lncRNA (ENSCARG00000068700.1)". The record is from RNAcentral. Lineage: Eukaryota; Metazoa; Chordata; Actinopteri; Cypriniformes; Cyprinidae.
CUGUGAUGCAAUGUAAGAGUUUGUGAUCGUUUAAACGGUGAAAAAUAAAUCACCCUGAAAGUUGGCCAAAAAAAAUGGUCUGACGUCACGUUCCCACAAUGCACGCGCCCGUCAGCUCUAGUGCUGCUGUGUUUAGAGGGAAAGAAACAGCAGGCCCGAAACAUACACACAUUAUUGAACAAAAAAAUUCAUUGUCGACUGCGAACAGUUUUUGAGAGUUCAUCGAGAUAUGGCUGGGAAUCGAUUUUUUUUAUCUGCACCCUUGUGAGAUGGAAGAUGGAAGAAUGCGCGUGAAAUGCAACUUUUGUGGGGAUCAAAAGUUUCUGAAGUCUGAACAUGCAAAAAAACAAUCUUCACUCCCAAGAAAAAUCACCCGUUGGAGCUUCUUGUCAGGUACUUGCUUUUGUCUCUAAAACGGGUGCCCAAUCCUGUUUCUAGCGAUCUACCUUCCCGGAAAGUUCAGUUCCAGCCCUGCUCCAACACACCUGUUUGUAAUUAUCAAGUGUGCCUGUUUUUUUGAAUGAAUCUACACUUUGCAGGUAAGUAGAUCUCCGGGACCAGGAUUGAGCACCCCUGCUCUAAAACAAUGUGAUUAUGAUUGUACAAAAUUUCUAACUUCUCACAGAUCGUUGGUUUUUCACAGAUGUACAGUGACAUACUCCUUGAAAA